GGGCCCGACCGGUUUUGACAGCGAGAGCAGUUGAUAGGUAAGCAUGUAGUGCGUUGUGAACGUUGCACUUUAAUCCGAAUUCUCAAACUUUUAUUUGGCGAAAAUAACUACGCCAUGGCUGCUUAAUCCAAGAUCAAGCAACCUUUGCAGUUUCUGUAGCGCUCCUGUUUAGCGACAGAAGUACUGCAUCAUAAAAUAACAGGUUGUUGCCGUGAUGAUGUUAGCGGUGGCAAUAUCAGCAUCUAAGUUUAAGUUUGGUUUAAAUGUAUGCCUGGCUUAGACCGACAAUCAAAUACAUUUUAAACAUGUAGAAAGCUUAUUAAUUCCUUGUUUGGACGAGGGUUCGAAUCCCUCCGGGUCCACUU
Molecule: transfer-messenger RNA, 365 nt
Filed under: Bacteroidia
Lineage: Bacteria; Pseudomonadati; Bacteroidota
Also listed under: 1 other name
Description: JAFDXR01 sp018267825 Standard tmRNA
Rfam family: transfer-messenger RNA
About the family: Bacterial tmRNA, also known as 10Sa RNA or SsrA, is named for its dual tRNA and mRNA-like properties. Its role is to liberate the mRNA from a stalled ribosome. To accomplish this part of the tmRNA is used as a reading frame that ends in a translation stop signal.
Source: RNAcentral